RNAcentral lists this ribosomal RNA (771 nucleotides) under uncultured Neocallimastigales. Its description in RNAcentral is "partial large subunit ribosomal RNA". It matches the Rfam family "Eukaryotic large subunit ribosomal RNA", at positions 26 to 645 of the family's 3401-position model. Lineage: Eukaryota; Fungi; Neocallimastigomycota; Neocallimastigomycetes; Neocallimastigales. The record is from RNAcentral.
CGCAUCUGUGCAUGCAGCAUAUCAAUAAGCGGAGGAAAAGAAACUAACAAGGAUUCCCUCAGUAACGGCGAGUGAAGCGGGAAGAGCUCAAAUUUGAAAUCUUGAAAGGUCACCGUUCACGAAUUGUAGUUUAAAGAAGUGUUUUCUGUUACGAUCGUAAUAUAAGUUCUUUGGAAUAGGACAUCACAGAGGGUGAGAAUCCCGUCUAUGAUUGCGAUUUGUAGCUUUGUGAUACACUUUCAAAGAGUCGGGUUGUUUGGGAAUGCAGCCCAAAACGGGAGGUAAAUUUCUUCUAAGGCUAAAUAUUGGCGAGAGACCGAUAGCGAACAAGUACCGUGAGGGAAAGAUGAAAAGAACUUUGAAAAGAGAGUUAAAUAGUACGUGAAAUUGUCAAAAGGGAAGCGUUUAACACCAGUGUUGUUUUCUGAAAAUCAACCUCUGUUAGCUUUAUGCAUGUUUGUUUAGACCUAAUCAGCUAUCUUGCAUGUUCUAUUGUUUGCAGUGGUGCACUUUUCAGUUUACAGGUCAACAUCAGUUUUUUUUACCGUAAAAAAGUUAAAGAAAGGUAGCUCAUGGCUCCGGUCGUGAGUGUUAUAGUCUUUUUCCUAUGCGGUAGGAGAGACUGAGGUCUGCAGUGUAGGCUAUUUGGCUAGAUACUCAGGUGCUAUGUGAUACCAUUUCAUAAACAACUUGUUGAUUAUGUUUUGUCUAUUGCAUACUCGCUUGUACUAUCAUACCUACGCUUAGGAUGUUGAAGUCAUCGUAUCGCGC